CUGGAAUUUAAAUCAAGUCUUCUUAAUCCCUGAGUUUAGCCUCUCUCCUCUUAACCAUGGGGCAGGAACGUCAAAAUCAAGCAAGCAAGAGGAUCCCAGCUGGCUCCCAAAGGCACAGCCAGCUCUGCAUCUGUUGAUGCUCUGCUACCUUUGACCCUAAAGCGCCAGGUGCUGAGGGUGCUGGAGAGGAAGGGGAGACACCACAGUAACCCCAGUUUCAGAACAUCGGGCUUCUGAUGAGGGCUGUGAGUUAAAUCAUGAGUUAAAUUUCAAGGGAGGAUACAGCAGAAAUGCCCACUUCAUGCUAAAAGCGGGACAUGGCAAAUAAAGGACUGGUGAGUCGACA
Non-coding RNA from Heterocephalus glaber (naked mole-rat), 346 nucleotides. The record is from RefSeq and is a predicted model, not a curated record. NCBI's taxonomy places the organism in Eukaryota, Metazoa, Chordata, Mammalia, Rodentia, Bathyergidae.